CUUUACCUUCUUGGUUGAAAAUUGCCCUAGGUUUUCUUGUUUUGCUGUUUUCAUGUCCCCUAUUUCCUUCACUUCUUCAGCUGAAAAUGUGUUGAUUCUUGAUGGGUUUUGUCCAUCUGCCGUUGUUUGUUUAAUAAGAAAGUUGAAUUGCUUUCUUCUAUUGAACUUUCAUUUUCGUUUUCUUAGUUGGGUUUCUUCACAUCCUCUGAUUUGAGGUUCAGUUCUUUAAAUUCAACUGAAAAUUUGCUUUCUUGUAUGUCUGUUUUCUUUUCCUUAUUAAUGGUUUAACUAUCUUCUUGUUUCUUGAUUUUCUUUUUUGAUUUUUGUACUUGGUUUCAGUAAUUCUGUUCCAAUUGGGUUUCUAAUUCCAUGGGAAUUUGUCAUGGAAAACCCACUAAAAACCCACAAAGAAAAUCUGAAAACCCAAUAAUUCCAGUGAGAACGAGCCGGGUUUAAUUCCCAAUGAGAACUCACCUGCCAAUUCCAGUGUGAGUUCAAACCCUCUACACAAAUUCAAGCUCCCAUUUCCUCCGCCUUCGCCGGCAAAGCACAUUCGGGCAUUGCUUGCUCGAAGGCAUGGCUCGGUUAAGCCGAAUGAGGCCUCAAUACCAGAAGGGAAUGAGAUUGAAUUGGGGUUGGACAAGAAUUUUGGGUUUUCAAAGCAAUUCAUGAUCUAUUAUGAGCUAGGUGAAGAGAUGGGGCGCGGGCAUUUUGGUUAUACUUGUUCUGCCAAGGCGAAGAAAUAGAGCUUAAAAGGACAGGAUGUGGCAGUCAAGCUUAUCCAGAAAUCGAACAUAAACUACUCUGGAGAUUUUCCAAUUUGUUUAUGAAAUUAACCCAAAUGCAAAUCAGAAAAAGUAGUUGAAUUCUUCUUUUAUUCUAGUUAGAAGCUUACUUUGUAUCAUGUUUUGUGUUUUUCAGGUUAUGCAAAGGAGGUGAAUUAUUGGAUAGAAUACUUUCUAGAGGUGGAAAAUACUCGGAAGAAGAUGCAAAGGCUGUCGUGGUACAGAUUUUGAGCGUGGUUGCCUACUGACAUCUCCAAGGUGUAGUUCACCGUGACCUCAAGCCUAAGUAACAUUGUGGAUGUGAACUCAUAUAAUGAGUUGAAAGAUGCAAUUAGUCAGGGGAAAUGGGCAAGGGGUCCACUGCACUUGUAAGGAAGAAAAAGAUGGAGAGGUUCCAAGGGUUCUGCAUCUGUAUACAGCUGAAAGAUUAUCAUCAUUUGGAGAGCUGGCACUAAUGAAUAACAAACCACUCCAGGCCUCUGUCCGUGCUGUGACAAGUGGAACUCUUUGGGCUUUAAAAAGGGAAGAUUUUCGAGGAAUUCUUACGUCAGAAUUUUCAAAUUUAUCAUCAUUGAAGUUGCUUCGAUCAAUAGAUCUGCUCUCGAGGUUGACAAUCUUACAGCUGAGUCACAUUGCAGAAUCUCUUUCUGAAGUUUCCUUUUCUGAUGGGCAGAUAAUAGCUGAUAGGGAUGAGGCUUUCUUGGGAUUGUACAUUAUCGAGAAGAGACAAGUUAGAAUUACUGUUGAUUACAUUACGGAGAAGUAAUUUGAUUCUGACAAUACAAUUGCAGCAAAUAAAAGAGAUAAGGAACAAACCAGGAUUGUGGCCUCUAUAUCGAGGGUUGAGCACUUGCUGAGGGAUGUGAAGGAUACAACAAUUAGCACCCUUGCAAUAGAGG
Molecule: non-coding RNA, 1684 nt
Organism: Camellia sinensis
Lineage: Eukaryota; Viridiplantae; Streptophyta; Magnoliopsida; Ericales; Theaceae
Source: RefSeq, a predicted model, not a curated record